UGACAAGCAGCUCAAGCACUGAAGUGGGGAAACUCUCCCAGCUUCUCCCAAGGACCUGGGAAGACACACCGAAUUUGCUGCAAUAGAAAAGCUGUUGGCCAAAGUACAAGCCUGAAGAAAAUAACACACCUUGCCAGUGGACAAGGAGGAUGGUGGUUUAUUAACUAUUUCAUUUCUAUUCUCUAUCAUUUUCAGUGGUUUUAUUUCAAAAAAACCAGAGAGUUUGGGUUUGGAGUAUUUUUUAAUUAUUUAUUUUAAAUUUUUUUUUAGGUGGGAGUAAAGGCCUUAUGAAGAUUCAGCUGAAAGACUCUGGGUGAGUUGGGGUCCUGUAUCAGGGCUGUAUUAGUUAGGAGGGGCAGACAUCCAUUACACAAUGAUAUGACAGCAUUUUUCUUCUUUAAUUGUAGACUUUUAUUGAUAUGAAUGGUUAUGUGCAGUUUUUCUGCACAGAAGCUUCACAAGUGCAGGACUUCGAGUCCAUGAAUAGCGUUAUGUGUAAAACUCUGUUGAUAGUACGGCACAGAGGCUGCACUCUCCUAUCCCCUUGUUUCAGCUAGACUGUCCUUUCUGGCUGCAUGGAUCUCCUUCCCCACCUGCCACCUGGAGAUGUGUAGUACAGGCCAGGUUUUGAGCUGGUUCAUCCCACAUAACGCAAGAGUAGGAGGGACAAGUGACAGCCACAUCUUAAUCAGCAUGAAAUAGAGAAUUGAGGCAGAGUCUAGACACGCUUUUUGCCUGCUGGUUGUUUUGCUUUGACAUGCAUAAUAACAAACAUAACGAGCGUGCCAGUAUUUAUGCUUUUGAACCAGGCAGCAUUGAGGAUUGCCCUCUUUGUUCUUUCUGCAUUUCUGUGACUCCAAAAAAUGCCCAAAUGCCUCGUUAUCCGACUGGUGUAAAUACACCAUGGCUGAUGUAAUUCAAUCGAACAGCUCAAGAUCCAAACACCUGAUAACAAGGAGAAUUGUUGUGUGAGUCUUUCAUAUCUGUGUAGAUGCUAGAGGCUGAUACCAUGUGGCAGGAGCCAGGAGCCAGUGUAGCUGCGAGGAAAGGGACCCACAGAGACUGCGCCAGCUUAUCUCACCUGUGCAGAGUUGAGCACACAAUAAAAUACUCAAAUGAUGUGAAAUGUUGCCAAUUGCUAUUUACAAACAAGGAAUGCACCAAAAUAGAAAUAUACAAAGCAUGUAAUAUGGAAAACCUUUGAAGCUUGUUGAGAAUGUUUGGGGCAGAAGAUGGU
RNAcentral lists this long non-coding RNA (1237 nucleotides) under Junco hyemalis (dark-eyed junco). RNAcentral describes it as "lncRNA (ENSJHYG00000006159.1)". Lineage: Eukaryota; Metazoa; Chordata; Aves; Passeriformes; Passerellidae. The record is from RNAcentral.